UUCAUAGGUCUCACUUGCGAAAGCUUCAAGUUUCCCCAUCUGAGACUGCCAUGACGGAUGUACUACGUGAGCUAUAUAAUUGGAUAGUGUUUUUGUGCAGCUGUUGACUGUGAAGAUAAUUCUUGAAAGGGACGAUGAAGAUGACGAUGAUAAUUCCAAUGGUAACCACCAGGAACCGAAAGAGAAGAAACACAUUUUCAAACUCGAGAUACUAGCAGGAAAUGCGAGAAAGGGACGGUCGAUGAGCUUUCUCAGAUGAUGCACUUUGAGCAGUGUUUACACAGCGGCAUUGUGGUCGUUCAUGUUAAUUCCAAAAAUGAUAUUAAAGCUG
Long non-coding RNA from Vicia villosa (hairy vetch), 331 nucleotides. RefSeq lists it as uncharacterized. NCBI's taxonomy places the organism in Eukaryota, Viridiplantae, Streptophyta, Magnoliopsida, Fabales, Fabaceae. The record is from RefSeq and is a predicted model, not a curated record. The transcript is spliced from 3 exons.